RNAcentral lists this ribosomal RNA (464 nucleotides) under Vreelandella stevensii. RNAcentral describes it as "partial 16S ribosomal RNA". It matches the Rfam family "Bacterial small subunit ribosomal RNA", at positions 338 to 795 of the family's 1533-position model. The record is from RNAcentral. Lineage: Bacteria; Pseudomonadati; Pseudomonadota; Gammaproteobacteria; Oceanospirillales; Halomonadaceae.
CCUACGGGGGGCUGCAGUGGGGAAUAUUGGACAAUGGGGGCAACCCUGAUCCAGCCAUGCCGCGUGUGUGAAGAAGGCCCUCGGGUUGUAAAGCACUUUCAGUGAGGAAGAAGCCUGGUGGUUAAUACCCAUCAGGAAAGACAUCACUCACCGGAGAAGGACCGGCCUAACUCCGUGCCAGCAGCCGCGGUAUACGGAGGGUGCGAGCGUUAAUCGGAAUUACUGGGCGUAAAGCGCGCGUAGGUGGCUUGAUAAGCCGGUUGUGAAAGCCCCGGGCUCAACCUGGGAACGGCAUCCGGAACUGUCAAGCUAGAGUGCAGGAGAGGAAGGUAGAAUUCCCGGUGUAGCGGUGAAAUGCGUAGAGAUCGGGAGGAAUACCAGUGGCGAAGGCGGCCUUCUGGACUGACACUGACACUGAGGUGCGAAAGCGUGGGUAGCAAACAGGAUUAGAUACCCUGGUAGUC